CGGUGUUGAAGAGGAAGAGGCCGGCGAGGCUUGAUAUUCCGGUGACGGCCAUGGGGUUCGAAGUACCGAUCACGCCGGCGGUUGAGGAAGCGGUGAUAGAGAGAGAGGGGUCUGUAUAUUCCGUGUAUUGUAAAAGAGGGAGAAGAGAGGCUAUGGAGGAUCGCUUCUCUGCUGUUCUCGACCUUCAGGGAGAUCCCAAGCAGGUAUGCUUUGUCUUACUUUCUUGUAUCUGUCAACAAUUUUUUUUUUUUUAACUUUUAAAAAUAAAAAGUUAAGCUUAAAUUGGAUUUAUCUGGUGAGUAGAUUCAUGGUUUCAUGAAUUUCAAUUUUUUGUUUUAAUUAUUAGGUUUUCAUGAUCAAAUACUGAAAAUUUUCAGUAUAGGCAUUGAAAUCUACUGAGCAUAACCCUAUGAUUUGUAUAAUUAAGUUCCAUUCGGUUUGUGAUUACCUUUGAAUUUGGUACCUUUGUGUGUCUUAAAUGCAGGCUUUCUUUGGUAUUUUUGAUGGGCAUGGAGGUUCUAAAGCUGCUCAGUAUGCAUCAGAAUACUUAGAUAAGAACAUUGUAAAAGAAAUUGACAAGAGGGAUGAAGAACAACUUGAGGAUGCAGUAAAACACGGCUAUUUGAACACGGAUUCUCAGUUUCUAAAGGAGGAUUUGCGAGGUGGCUCGUGUUGCGUGACAGCUCUGGUUCGAAAGGGAAAUCUUGUUGUAUCCAAUGUAGGAGAUUGUCGUGCUGUGGUGAGCAUAAGUGGUGUUGCUGAGGCCCUAACAUCUGAUCAACGCCCUUCUAGGGAAGAUGAGAAGAACAGAAUCGAGAACUUGGGUGGCUAUGUUGAUUUGAUCCAUGGUGUUUGGAGAAUUCAAGGAUCCUUGGCUGUAUCCAGGGGUAUUGGAGAUGGCCAUCUUAAGCAGUGGGUAAUCGCUGAGCCUGAGACAAAAAUUAUAAAGAUCAACCAUGAUCAUGAGUUCUUGAUACUAGCUUCUGAUGGCUUGUGGGAUAGGGUUGGUAAUCAGGAAGCAGUAAACAUUGCUCGCCCAUAUUGCGUAGGAGUUGAUAGACCAGAACCAUUGGCUGCCUGUAAAAAGCUUGUCGAUCUAUCUGUUUCUCGAGGUUCCACAGAUGAUAUUAGUGUAAUGCUGAUCCAGAUGAAGUGCUAUAUCUAAUUAUGUUGUCAUUCUUGGAAUUACUGCUGACGUAUCUGUUGAUUCAGUCUAAUCUAGUGCUAGUUUUGAAAACUCUGUGGAUUUUUUUUCCCAUGAGAGAAAUAGACAGAUCCAUUCAUUCAUUUAUUCUUUUUAGAAUUAUAAUUUUAUUUAUAGUAUGAAAAUAAUGACUUGUAAAUCUUAUUACAUAAAUAAUUUUUCUGGAAAUACAUUCACCGUGUCUAUGAG
Molecule: unclassified non-coding RNA, 1393 nt
Filed under: Hevea brasiliensis (rubber tree)
Lineage: Eukaryota; Viridiplantae; Streptophyta; Magnoliopsida; Malpighiales; Euphorbiaceae
Source: RNAcentral